RNAcentral lists this ribosomal RNA (253 nucleotides) under uncultured bacterium. RNAcentral describes it as "partial 16S ribosomal RNA". It matches the Rfam family "Bacterial small subunit ribosomal RNA", at positions 524 to 776 of the family's 1533-position model. The record is from RNAcentral.
UACGGAGGGUGCGAGCGUUGUCCGGAAUCACUGGGCGUAAAGGGCGCGUAGGCGGCCUGGUAAGUAGGGGGUGAAAUCCUGCGGCUUAACCGCAGGGCUGCCUUCUAAACUGUCAGGCUCGAGCACGGUAGAGGCAGAUGGAAUUCCCGGUGUAGCGGUGAAAUGCGCAGAUAUCAGGAGGAACACCAAUUGCGAAGGCAGCUCGCUGGGACGUGACUGACGCUGAGACGCGAAAGCGUGGGGAGCAAACAGG